This is a long non-coding RNA of Pogoniulus pusillus (Red-fronted tinkerbird), 1015 nucleotides long. RefSeq lists it as uncharacterized. The record is from RefSeq and is a predicted model, not a curated record. The transcript has 2 exons. NCBI's taxonomy places the organism in Eukaryota, Metazoa, Chordata, Aves, Piciformes, Lybiidae.
CUCUGCUCCAGCUCUAGGCCAGGUUGGGUGCUCUGCUCCAGCUCUGGACCAGGUUGGGUGCUCUGCUCCAGCUCUAGGCCAGGUUGGGUGCCCUGCUCCAGCUCUAGGCCAGGUUGGGUGCUCUGCUCCAGCUCUAGGCCAGGUUGGGUGCUCUGCUCCAGCUCUAGGCCAGGUUGGGUGCUCUGCUCCAGCUCUAGGCCAGGUUGGGUGCUUUGGGCUGGGAUCUGCUGAGGUUCAGAGGUGCUUUGGGCUGGGAUCUGCUGAGGUUCAGAGGUGCUUUGGGCUGGGAUCUGCUGAGGUUCAGAGGUGCUUUGGGCUGGGACCUGCUGAGGUUCAGAGGUGCUUUGGGCUGGGACCUGCUGAGGUUCAGAGGUGCUUUGGGCUGGGACCUGCUGAGGUUCAGAGGUGCUUUGGGCUGGGACCUGCUGAGGUUCAGAGGAGCUUUGGGCUGGGAUCUGCUGAGGUUCAGAGGUGCUUUGGGCUGGGAUCUGCUGAGGUUCAGAGGUGCUUUGGGCUGGGAUCUGCUGAGGUUCAGAGGUGCUUUGGGCUGGGAUCUGCUGAGGUUCAGUGGUGCUUCAAGAGGAGGAUGCUGGUGGGACCCUCGGGAGCCUUCAUCUGCCAUGGUGCCAGGGGACCAGUGGCAGGGGGAGUUGGUGGCCCCUUGGCCCGGGGCUGGUGGCCCCUGGGUGGGUGUUGGUGCUGGCAGCUGUGGAAGAGGAGCAGGCAGCAGGAGGAGGUUGAAGCUCUCCUGGCUUCGGGAAGCUCUCAGCUGGACCAGGCAGGACCAUGGAGGCUCCACGGAACUGCUCCUCCUGUUGGCACCAGGCAGCAGCAGGGACCCUGAGCUGCCUCCAGGCUCAGCCCUGCAGCUCCCAGGGCUGCUCCCUUGCAGCAGGUCCCUGCCAACCCUCCUGUCCCUCUCUGGCUGUCCCCACCCUGCCCAGGCCUGUCUGGGCUGAAAUAAAGCAUUGAGGGCUUGGGGCACCUCCUGGCAGUGCCUCCAGGCCACCUCCUG